GCUCUUCUAGUAUACUAAUUACAAUUGACUUCCAAUCUCUAAAAUCUGGAUCAAACCCAGAGAAGAGCA
This 69-nucleotide transfer RNA is filed under the name Strix aluco (Tawny owl). Its description in RNAcentral is "tRNA-Gly". It matches the Rfam family "tRNA". Rfam says of the family: Transfer RNA (tRNA) molecules are approximately 80 nucleotides in length. Their secondary structure includes four short double-helical elements and three loops (D, anti-codon, and T loops). Further hydrogen bonds mediate the characteristic L-shaped molecular structure. tRNAs have two regions of fundamental functional importance: the anti-codon, which is responsible for specific mRNA codon recognition, and the 3' end, to which the tRNAs corresponding amino acid is attached (by aminoacyl-tRNA synthetases). tRNAs cope with the degeneracy of the genetic code in two manners: having more than one tRNA (with a specific anti-codon) for a particular amino acid; and 'wobble' base-pairing, i.e. permitting non-standard base-pairing at the 3rd anti-codon position. The record is from RNAcentral. Lineage: Eukaryota; Metazoa; Chordata; Aves; Strigiformes; Strigidae.